UGGGGAAUAUUGGACAAUGGGGGCAACCCUGAUCCAGCCAUGCCGCGUGUGUGAAGAAGGCCUUUUGGUUGUAAAGCACUUUAAGCAGGGAGGAGAGGCUAAUGGUUAAUACCCAUUAGAUUAGACGUUACCUGCAGAAUAAGCACCGGCUAACUCUGUGCCAGCAGCCGCGGUAAUACAGAGGGUGCGAGCGUUAAAUCGGAAUUACUGGGCGUAAAGCGAGUGUAGGUGGCUCAUUAAGUCACAUGUGAAAUCCCCGGGCUUAACCUGGGAACUGCAUGUGAUACUGGUGGUGCUAGAAUAUGUGAGAGGGAAGUAGAAUUCCCAGGUGUAGCGGUGAAAUGCGUAGAGAUCUGGAGGAAUACCGAUGGCGAAGGCAGCUUCCUGGCAUAAUAUUGACACUGAGAUUCGAAAGCGUGGGUAGCAAAACAGGAUUAGAUACCCUGGUAGUCCACGCCGUAAACGAUGUCUACUAGCCGUUGGGGUCCUUGAGACUUUAGUGGCGCAGUUAACGCGAUAAGUAGACCGCCUGGGGAGUACGGCC
Molecule: ribosomal RNA, 544 nt
Filed under: uncultured bacterium
Lineage: Bacteria
Description: partial 16S ribosomal RNA
Rfam family: Bacterial small subunit ribosomal RNA
Source: RNAcentral